AAACAACUAGCUGAUCCCUUAUUUUUAAAAUUACAUACAGGGUCCCUGUAAUUUUAUAUAUGGUUACAAUUUAAUCCUUUUUGUAAUUGCUCGUUGCAAUUCCUAAUUUUAUUGCUAACAAGUAUUCAAGAACACGAGAUCUCUUGGAGGGAUGGAGAGUAAGGCAGCAAAAAGAGGAGAGUGUGAUUUGCAGCAAAGCAUAAUCGGUGGUGGGCUGCAAAGUAAGAGUGAGGAAAUGAGAGGAGUAAGCUUGGAAGGAGAGAAGGUGAUACUUGUGCCCUACAUGGAGGCCCACGUCCCAAAGUAUCACCACUGGAUGCAAGACCCCUUUCUUCUCCAAGCCACCGGCUCUGAGCUCUUAUCCCUUCAAGACGAGUAUCAGAUGCAGCUCUCUUGGACCCAAGACCCCCUCAAAAGGACUUUUAUUGUACUGGAUAAGGAAAUGAUACAAGCUGGUUUUGUUCAUGGAGAUCCUCAUGUCGAAGCUAUGGUAGGCGAUGUAAAUAUAUUCAUGAAUGAUGUGGAUGAUCCUCAAGUGGCCGAGAUCGAGAUAAUGAUAGCUGAACCAAAGAGUCGUGGAAAAGGACUCGGGAAGGAAUCUGUGUUGAUGAUGAUGGCCUAUGCUGUUCGGGACCUUGGGAUCCAUGUAUUCCGUGCUAAAAUUGGAGAAUCAAAUGGAUCAUCUCUUAAUAUGUUUUGUAAUUUGGGUUUUCAGGAGACUUCUCGCAGUGAAAUCUUCAAAGAGGUGACACUGGAAUUACCAAUGACACAGCCUAAGUGUGAGGAAUUACUGAAAUUGAUUGAUAAUGUGGUUACACAUGUGUAACCACACACGAGUAGUUUUCAAAAAUUGUCCAACUGUCAUAUUGUAUUACUACUGUGUAGAACUUUAACUAGUAUUCAGAGAAUUGUAGAGUACUUGGAAAACGGAAGCGUUCAUGAUACUUGGAAUAGUGAACCUACUAGGAUUUGCCAGAUACAUGAUUUCACUAUUUAUUAUGCAGAGACGAAGACCUGAAAACAUGUGCUCAUAAUGACAGUGCGAUGGAAUAAAUGACUAAAUCUGGAAACCUGCAGAUGUACUUGGACUAGUUGAACACAGGGAGGCUAGAAUACACAGGUGUUUCAAGCUUCCCCCUCCAAUAUUUUCUUCUAUCCUGAAAAAAAAUUUAAUGUCCCCAUUGAUUGAAUAUUUGGUCCUGUUGUAGCAUGACUCGAAGGGAUGUCAUUUAUAACUGAAUUCCCAGCUUGCCAGACAUGAUUAACAGCAGUUCCAUUUUGUAGAGGGCCCAGCACAGCGAAGAUACUCAUCUGAUUAUCUGCAUAUGUUGCAGAGAUGUUUGACACGUGAAAGCUGAGAGCUCCUGGUCGCAUUGAUGUGGUAUAACUAGUUAUUGGGGUUGGAUAGGCAGUCAAGCUCCCAUUAGAAUUAUGAAAGGCAACAAGAGCUUGUGAUCCAACCAUGCCUGCACCAUUUGGAUUGAUUGCCCAUGCAAUCCAUCCUGUAGAAGUUUGGUUGGCUCUAUAUGCUAUGUGAACAGUUCUGGUGGAUGGAAUGUAGUUCCAAUGGAGAUUGGCCUGUAGGAAAGGGAGGUCGAUGCAAGAAUUGAAUGCUUGAUUACCUGGAAAGGUGUAUUUUGAGCAUGAUUGAGCAGAAGAAAUGAGGACUAAGGAGAGAAGUAUGCUAAUAAACAAUGCAGGUGUUGAGGUAAUAGCCAUGAAGAUGUUGAAUGUCCAAAGACUCUUGUGUUGAGGUUUAUAAUUAAUUUCAAGGGAAGAGGAUUUCACAAUUUCUAAUUGUACUGUGGUCUCACAGAUAUUUCACAGAAAAGUUAAGAAGAAGGAAAUCCAGUUUGGCAAGCUGGGUUUGUGUUUUCUUGCAGACGAUCCGCGAACUAUCCACCCUUUCGGUUCUAGGCAGUGACCCUCUAGUAUGAAUCUAGUGGUCUAAAAUUGCACCAGUGGCUGAGAUGCAGUCAGCGAGAAGAAGAUACAGUCGGAAGUUCAGAACAAGUAUUUUCAGGAGGUGGAUUGUUAUGGAUUACAAGAGCCUUAAUUGGUUGGCUGGAAUGAGUCUGGCUGUGAUCCAAUUUAUAAGUAAAGCUGGAGAAGUUUAAGUCAAGAGUUGUUGACAGGUUACGUAUGUUGUUUCUGAACAACACACAAAUCUUGAGAAGACUAAAGAAAUCAGGGUUAGAGUCAUGCAAGUUUUAUUUCUUCUUGCAUGACAAUAUUUCCUUGCGUCUGUUCUGCAACAGUCCGAUUUCCAACCUAAUUAAUGGUUAGUACUAAUUCAACAAGACCUAGCCUAUAAAAGUGGACCCUUUCUGAUAAACAGACCAGAAAUAGACAGGAAACUUGUUGCUGAGUGGUGAUAAUAUGUACAAGACAGGAACAUUACAAACUUCUAGAUUAUCCUGAAUGGAUCAUAUAUCCUUGCAGAAAAAAAUUCCUUCCCAUUAUUGAAACUCGUUCUUCGCUUUGCCAAGUUAGAAGGGUAGAGGGUAGGAAGAAACUAAGAGAGUAGGUUUGAUUGAGGAGUUUUGUGUUCCCGUUAACGUCUGCGCAUGGAGGAGCAAAGUCGUCAGAUGUUAUUUUCUGUCAAGAAAAUGUAAUGGCUGGAAAGGUUAAGUCACUUGGAGGCGCCGAAAAAGUAGGUGUGGCAUGUUUGAAAUUCUCCAAUAGCCAGGCAGGUAAUUUUUUCACCAACGGCGGAGUCAAAUUAACCACAUUGAUCAAGUAUCCGGGGCUUGGCUUAUCCCAUUUGACAUUGCAGUCAUUUGACAUUGCAGCAAUGGAUUCUUGGAAAUAUACAAGAAUAAUAUUUUUUUAUUUUUUUAAA
Molecule: RNA transcript, 2842 nt
Organism: Populus trichocarpa (black cottonwood)
Lineage: Eukaryota; Viridiplantae; Streptophyta; Magnoliopsida; Malpighiales; Salicaceae
Exons: 7
Source: RefSeq, a predicted model, not a curated record